UACGUAGGGGGCAAGCGUUGUCCGGAUUCAUUGGGCGUAAAGAGCGUGUAGGCGGCCAGGUAGGUCGGUUGUGAAAACUGGAGGCUCAACCUUCAGAGGUCGACCGAAACCAUCUGGCUAGAGUCCGGGAGAGGAGAGUGGAAUUCCUGGUGUAGCGGUGAAAUGCGCAGAUAUCAGGAGGAACAACAGAGGCGAAGGCGACUUACUGGACCGUAACUGACGCUGAGAUGCGACAGUGUGGGGAGCAAACAGG
This 253-nucleotide ribosomal RNA is filed under the name uncultured bacterium. RNAcentral's name for it is "partial 16S ribosomal RNA". It matches the Rfam family "Bacterial small subunit ribosomal RNA", at positions 524 to 776 of the family's 1533-position model. The record is from RNAcentral.